RNAcentral lists this ribosomal RNA (301 nucleotides) under uncultured bacterium. RNAcentral describes it as "partial 16S ribosomal RNA". It matches the Rfam family "Bacterial small subunit ribosomal RNA", at positions 509 to 807 of the family's 1533-position model. The record is from RNAcentral.
CAGCCGCCGCGGGAAUACGUAGGGUCCGAGCGUUGUCCGGAAUUAUUGGGCGUAAAGGGCUCGUAGGCGGUUUGUCGCGUCGGGAGUGAAAACCAGCAGCUUAACUGCUGGCCUGCUUUCGAUACGGGCAGACUUGAGGCAUUCAGGGGAGAACGGAAUUCCUGGUGUAGCGGUGAAAUGCGCAGAUAUCAGGAGGAACACCGGUGGCGAAGGCGGUUCUCUGGGAAUGUUCUGACGCUGAGGAGCGAAAGUGUGGGGAGCGAACAGGAUUAGAUACCCCGGUAGUCCCUGUCUCUUAUAC